GCUGGGUGCAGUGGCGCGUGCCUGUAAUCCCAGCUACUCGGGAGGCUGAGGCUGGAGGCAGGGGUUCUGGGCUGCAGUGUGCUAUGCCGAUCGGGUGUCCGCACUAAGUUCGGCAUCAAUAUGGUGACCUCCCGGGAGUCGGGGACCACCAGGUUGCCUAAGGAGUGGUGAACCAGCCCAGGUCGGAAACGGAGCAGGUCAAAACUCCCGUGCUGAUCAGUAGUGGGAUCACGCCUGUGAAUAGCCACUGUACCCCAGCCUGGGCAACAUAUAUAUAUUUU
This is an unclassified non-coding RNA of 281 nucleotides. It matches the Rfam family "Metazoan signal recognition particle RNA". From Rfam's summary of the family: The signal recognition particle (SRP) is a universally conserved ribonucleoprotein. It is involved in the co-translational targeting of proteins to membranes. The record is from Ensembl.